AGCAGCCGCGGUAGUUCCAGCUCCAAUAGCGUAUAUUAAAGUUGUUGCAGUUAAAAAGCUCGUAGUUGGAUUUCGGGAUUAAUAUGCUGGUCGUGCCAUUGGUACGUACUAGUAUUAUUGAUUUCUCCCUUCUGAUGAAUCAUGAUGUCAUUAAUUUGAUGUCAUGGGGAAUCAGGACUGUUACUUUGAAAAAAUUAGAGUGUUUAAAGCAGGCUCGCGCUUGAAUACAUUAGCAUGGAAUAAUAGAAAUAGGACGUUUGAUUCUAUUUUGUUGGUUUCUAGGAUUGACGUAAUGAUUAAUAGGGAUAGGUUGGGGGCAUUAGUAUUCAAUUGUCAGAGGUGAAAUUCUUGGUAUUUAUUGAAGACUAACUACUGCGAAAGCAUUUGCCAAGGAUGUUUUC
This 401-nucleotide ribosomal RNA is filed under the name uncultured Glomus. RNAcentral's name for it is "SSU rRNA". It matches the Rfam family "Eukaryotic small subunit ribosomal RNA", at positions 569 to 971 of the family's 1831-position model. The record is from RNAcentral. Lineage: Eukaryota; Fungi; Glomeromycota; Glomeromycetes; Glomerales; Glomeraceae.